Molecule: long non-coding RNA, 856 nt
Organism: Suricata suricatta (meerkat)
Lineage: Eukaryota; Metazoa; Chordata; Mammalia; Carnivora; Herpestidae
Exons: 6
Source: RefSeq, a predicted model, not a curated record
AGGGCGCUGCUUCCCCAUCCUCUGGGCUAUCCAGGGGGCUCGGCUCAUUUUCUGGCAUUGUUGUGCCUGUGGAAAACAAGCUGGGAGAGCCUGUAGUUUCAAGUUGCUGAAUCUUUGAAAAACUCAGGCAAGAGGUUCAGUCUUUGAAGUCAUUUUCCCUUUGGGAGCUGAUCCUGACGCAUGAGUAGCAGGAGUCUCUUUGUUGAACAAGUCAACCAUCAGCCGCAGACCCACUUUGGAGUCUCCUGGGAAAGUGUGAACAUGCCAGCAAACAGCCUACAUCAAAGACAUUUCAAUUCUGCAACAAGCCUUUCUGCUUCGGACUCCCCAAAACUUGAUGCAUGGCAUAGGUCCCAAGAUGGAAAGAGGCUGUAAAGAUUUUGAGGAGGAAUUUCAUAGAAGAAGAGGAGAACAGUCUUCACUGUUUGCUUAUCGAGGGCAGUAGAGGGGCCCCUGCUUCAUGACCUUCAUUCUGUGUGUGCUGUAAACAUUGAAGAGAUCGUAAAAGUCUGCAUGAAAUUGAAUUUGAAGAUCAAUCUUUCUCAAUCAGUUUCUUUUGGAAAAAUGCCCUGAAAGUAAAUUUCGCGCCAACUCAGGCCACCAUGAGUUCAUCUAUCACCUCCGACUCCGAUCUAGCACUCUUCAUGCUGGCCCUCUCCCACUGCGUACCUGUAACUUCUGUUUUCCUAGAGCAAGAAACUUGCUCUUAUUAUCCCAGCAUAUUCUCUUAUUGGUUCAAGUGCAGUAUAUGUAUAUUUUCAGAAUAAACAGUAAAUGUGAGAAACACAUUACUGAUUAGAGUGCAAAGGUAGUGGAAAAUUAGUUCUGUCUUUAGGCUUACAUGAUCUAAUAAAAU